GGGGAUGCUUGGUUUCGACAGGGAGGGAUGAUACGGAGUUGCAGGCCGGGGCGCUUUAACCUCGUUACAAAUGAAGCAAGCCAUUAAACGGCAAAACUAAUACACAGCGGGGUGCUUACGCACUCCAGCUCGCUGCUUAACUAAGUAAAGCAGCCAUCCUCAGAGACCGCUUCUCCGACGGUUUCAAAAGGGUGUUGACAAAUCGGAAUGCUGCCAGAGUGAGUGUCGAGUAGCUCUGGACUAAGAUUACCGUCUAGCUGAAAGCAACCCUGUCGGUGGGGUAGGCCGAAGCAAAAUUUAAUUCAUCGAAUAAGCUUGUAGUAUACUUUGGUCUGAACUUUUUGGACGGGGGUUCGACUCCCCCCAUCUCCACUU
Molecule: transfer-messenger RNA, 375 nt
Filed under: Chloroflexia
Lineage: Bacteria; Bacillati; Chloroflexota
Also listed under: 1 other name
Description: L227-5C sp013390945 Standard tmRNA
Rfam family: transfer-messenger RNA
About the family: Bacterial tmRNA, also known as 10Sa RNA or SsrA, is named for its dual tRNA and mRNA-like properties. Its role is to liberate the mRNA from a stalled ribosome.
Source: RNAcentral